GAUGAACGCUAGCUACAGGCUUAACACAUGCAAGUCGAGGGGCAACAUGGAGUCAGCUUGCUGACUUUGAUGGCGACCGGCGCACGGGUGAGUAACGCGUAUCCAACCUUCCCCCUACCAGAGGAUAGCCCGGCGAAAGUCGGAUUAAUUCCCUAUGUUGUUUGAUGCUGACAUCAAGAUCAAACCAAAGAUUCAUCGCUAAGGGAUGGGGAUGCGUCUGAUUAGAUAGUAGGCGGGGUAACGGCCCACCUAGUCAACGAUCAGUAGGGGUUCUGAGAGGAAGGUCCCCCACAUUGGAACUGAGACACGGUCCAAACUCC
This 320-nucleotide ribosomal RNA is filed under the name uncultured Prevotella sp. RNAcentral describes it as "bacterial SSU rRNA". It matches the Rfam family "Bacterial small subunit ribosomal RNA", at positions 28 to 339 of the family's 1533-position model. The record is from RNAcentral. Lineage: Bacteria; Pseudomonadati; Bacteroidota; Bacteroidia; Bacteroidales; Prevotellaceae.